Molecule: ribosomal RNA, 497 nt
Filed under: uncultured bacterium
Lineage: Bacteria
Description: partial 16S ribosomal RNA
Rfam family: Bacterial small subunit ribosomal RNA
Source: RNAcentral
GAUGAACGCUGGCGGCGUGCCUAAUACAUGCAAGUCGAGCGAACAGACGAGGAGCUUGCUCCUCUGACGUUAGCGGCGGACGGGUGAGUAACACGUGGAUAACCUACCUAUAAGACUGGGAUAACUUCGGGAAACCGGAGCUAAUACCGGAUAAUAUAUUGAACCGUAUGGUUCAAUAGUGAAAGACGGUUUUGCUGUCACUUAUAGACGGAUCCGCGCCGUAUUAGCUAGUUGGUAAGGUAACGGCUUACCAAGGCAACGAUGCGUAGCCGACCUGAGAGGGUGAUCGGCCACACUGGAACUGAGACACGGUCCAGACUCCUACGGGAGGCAGCAGUAGGGAAUCUUCCGCAAUGGGCGAAAGCUUGACGGAGCAACGCCGCGUGAGUGAUGAAGGUCUUCGGAUCGUAAAACUCUGUUAUUAGGGAAGAACAAAUGUGUAAGUAACUAUGCACGUCUUGACGGUACCUAAUCAGAAAGCCACGGCUAACUACGUG